UGGGCCGUCGCCAAGCGGUAAGGCACCAGGUUUUGAUCCUGGCAUGCGCAGGUUCGAAUCCUGCCGGCCCAGCCA
This 75-nucleotide transfer RNA is filed under the name bacterium. Its description in RNAcentral is "tRNA-Gln". It matches the Rfam family "tRNA". Rfam says of the family: Transfer RNA (tRNA) molecules are approximately 80 nucleotides in length. Their secondary structure includes four short double-helical elements and three loops (D, anti-codon, and T loops). RNAcentral also lists the same sequence under 8 other names. The record is from RNAcentral.